ACAUAGGCUUUUGAUGCCAGAGAGCUCUGCUUCCAGGGAAUGAGCCCCUCAGCUCCCACUGGGGGCGGCAACGCCGCCCCUUAGGCAAAGCUUCCGUCUCUUGGAGCCUUUUACCAGCCUACCCUACUGUGGCUGCCCCUGGGUCUGAUACUGAGCUAGAGGGACACCACUCUGAAGGGUGGCAAGAGGCCAGGGGAGCCAGUACGCCAGGAAAUCGGGAUGCUUACAAAAUCUGUGUGUCGGGGUUAAAAGGGCAAAACCCUGUUCCACAGAAGAGCUCUGGUUGAAAAAAACAGGACGGAGGGUACCACUCAGACUGGAAUUCUGGGGCCCCUAUUUGAAGAAGGGUCUUUGGAAACAGCGGAAGGAAUCCACGUUGGUCCUACAGACUGUGUCUUCCUCCGGAUUCUACCCACCCCACGUAGCUGCAGUUGUCCCUUGGCUCCCAAGGGACAGCUCUCACUCUCCAUUUCACUACGUCCGUC
Peromyscus eremicus (cactus mouse) is the source of this 485-nucleotide long non-coding RNA. RefSeq lists it as uncharacterized. Lineage: Eukaryota; Metazoa; Chordata; Mammalia; Rodentia; Cricetidae. The transcript has 3 exons. The record is from RefSeq and is a predicted model, not a curated record.